GACAGAGGUGCCGAGCGUUAGGCGGAAUCACUGGGCUUAAAGCGUGUGUAGGCGGACCGUUAAGUGUCUUGUGAAAUCCCACGGCUCAACCGUGGAACGGCUGGGCAUACUGGCGGUCUUGAGAGGCCUAGGGGCGAGCGGAACAGGCGGUGGAGCGGUGAAAUGCGUAGAUAUCGCCUGGAACGCCGACAAGUGAAAACAGCUCGGCUGGGGGCCUUCUGACGCUGAGACACGAAAGCCAGGGGAGCGAAACGGG
RNAcentral lists this ribosomal RNA (256 nucleotides) under uncultured bacterium. Its description in RNAcentral is "partial 16S ribosomal RNA". It matches the Rfam family "Bacterial small subunit ribosomal RNA", at positions 524 to 777 of the family's 1533-position model. The record is from RNAcentral.